AGGGCAAGUCAACUUCUUGCCCAGAGAGGAGAAGCUUUGGGCUGAGCUCAGGGUGGCCUUGCAGGGCCUGAAGGAGCUGCAGGAAACAUGGAGAGAGACAAUUCCCAAGGGAUGGAGGGACAGGACACAGGGAAUGGAGGGACAGCACACAGGGAAUGGCUGCAGAGUAGGGUUUGAUGGGAUGGGGGGGGGGGGGGGGGGGGGGGGGGGGGGGGGGGUGGGAGGGGGGGGGGGGGGGGGGGGGGGGGGGGGGGGGGGGGGGGGGGGGGGGGGGGGGGGGGGGGGGGGGGGGGGGGGGGGGGGGGGGGGGGGGGGGGGGGGGGGGGUCCAGGCUGGACACUGGGGCUGGAGCAGCCUGGGACAGGGGGAGGUGUCUCUGCCCAAGCCAGGAUGAGCUUUAAUCUCCCUCCCAAGCCAGGGAUUCCCUGGUUUUGUG
This 436-nucleotide long non-coding RNA is filed under the name Ficedula albicollis (Collared flycatcher). RNAcentral describes it as "lncRNA (ENSFALG00000028345.1)". Lineage: Eukaryota; Metazoa; Chordata; Aves; Passeriformes; Muscicapidae. The record is from RNAcentral.